Molecule: ribosomal RNA, 157 nt
Filed under: Pseudonectria buxi
Lineage: Eukaryota; Fungi; Ascomycota; Sordariomycetes; Hypocreales; Nectriaceae
Description: 5.8S ribosomal RNA
Rfam family: 5.8S ribosomal RNA
About the family: 5.8S ribosomal RNA (5.8S rRNA) is a component of the large subunit of the eukaryotic ribosome. It is transcribed by RNA polymerase I as part of the 45S precursor that also contains 18S and 28S rRNA.
Source: RNAcentral
AAAACUUUCAACAACGGAUCUCUUGGUUCUGGCAUCGAUGAAGAACGCAGCGAAAUGCGAUAAGUAAUGUGAAUUGCAGAAUUCAGUGAACCAUCGAAUCUUUGAACGCACAUUGCGCCCGCCAGUAUUCUGGCGGGCAUGCCUGUCCGAGCGUCAU